GACGAACGCUGGCGGCGCGCUUAACACAUGCAAGUCGAACGGAAAGGCCGCCUUCGUGGGGUACUCGAGUCGCUAACGGGCUUGUCACACGCGAGUAGCCUGCCCUUGACUUUGGGAUAACUUCGCGAAACGGUGGCGAAUACCGCAUAUGAGCUCCUGCUGCCUGGUGGGGGUCGGCAACUUCCGCCGGCCGGGGAUGGACUCGCGGCUUAUCAGCUGGUUGGUUGGUUCGUCGCUUACCAAGGCGUUGCCGGGUAGCCGGACUGAGAGUGUGACAGGCCAUAUUCGGGCUGUGAGGCGGCCCAGACCCCUACGGGAGGCAGCAGUGGGCAAGAUUGCACAAUGGGUGGAAGCCUAAUGCAGUAACGCCGUGUGCGGGAUGACGGCCUUCGGGUCGUCAACCGCUUUCGCCCAUGACGAAGCUUUGUGUGACGGUAGUGGGUAAAGAAGCACCGGCUAACUACGUG
RNAcentral lists this ribosomal RNA (467 nucleotides) under uncultured bacterium. RNAcentral's name for it is "partial 16S ribosomal RNA". It matches the Rfam family "Bacterial small subunit ribosomal RNA", at positions 28 to 507 of the family's 1533-position model. The record is from RNAcentral.